Molecule: small RNA, 28 nt
Filed under: Bombyx mori (domestic silkworm)
Lineage: Eukaryota; Metazoa; Arthropoda; Insecta; Lepidoptera; Bombycidae
Description: ovarian small RNA-20054
Source: RNAcentral
UACAACCAGACACGCGGCGCCAUCCCGA